CAAUCAUGCUGGGUCAUGAAACUAAUUGUGCUUUGUGAGGGUGAAAAUUCUCCGUUUCCGAGCGGGGGACACUGCUGCAUGACGGAUGAACGUUAGAAAUGUGGCUCCCCCUAUCCAGAAAAAGGAAAAGGAGAGAAAAGGCUUUCUUUUGCCACAAUUACCACCCUGGGUCCAUAGUAUCCAGCAGUCAGAAGGCCAAGAUUUUGAUUCUCCAACUCAAAGAAAGGGAUAUUACUCAAGCUUUUAGGACAGCUUGGAGUGGUCAAGCCUCAGCACUCAGAAGACAGAGGAAAGCAGGAAAGGAGGAACUCUCUGCAGUUGUCCAGUGACAUCUGGCCACAUCUCCACGGCUUUGCCUGAUUCCACCUGCCUAAAAUACCCUUUCUUCUCCCUCUCCAGCAAACCUCUAAAUAUCUACGAUGUGAUCUCAUGAAAGAAGCCUCCCAGCCUGGGUUCAGGGUUCUUCACAUGACACUGUACUUUUCAUAUUAUGAGCUAAAUAUGAGACAGAUUCUCCCCCUGGAUUGAUGGACUCACUCAUAUGGAGCCAAUCAUCCUACCAAGAAUAACUAGAAGAGCUAGAUGAAAACCAAUCAAAUGAAAGAAACCUGUUUGAAGAGACUCCCAAGACAGCAAGGACUUCAAGAGUAAAGGUCUUCAUGAGAAGGAAAAUUCAUAAGGGGGAACAUGACAUUUUGCACUGCUUUUCCCUUUGGAACAUUUGGAGCAUUUGCCAAUUUACCGUAUUGGCAAUAAAACCAUACAGAAAAGUGAGUAGAUUAUAAGUAGAAAAUUCAGGCAACUGAUUACCCUAGAGGGGAGGCAGGUCAUUUUGAGACAGGGCAUACAGGUUUGAUUUUGUUUGUUCUCUCUUUUUAAAAAAGAAACAGGCAGUAUCCUAUUUCUUAAACUAGAUUGUGGUUACAUAGCAAAUAAGUUUGUUAUUUUUCUUCAAAUUUACGUGCACAUACAGAUACAUAUUUAUAUAUGUGAUAUAUAUGUAUAUCACAUUAUUUUUCAUGCACAUUUAUCGCGAAGAAGAAAAAGGAAAGAAACUCUAAACUAAUAGCUCUUAUCCACAGAGAACAUAUUCCAGCCCUCAGCAUGAUUUUGUAUUUCAGCAGUUUCCUCAGAGUUGCUAGAAAACCUGUUCUUCUCAUCCGUCGCUAGUAACUUCUGUUAUUCCCAAAUGAUAAUAAAAAUCUCCAGGGCUAGAAGCUAAAAAGCUGGUAUGCAGAAAUAAGAGUAUUAAAGAAAGCUGAUGUGUGGCCUCAUCCUAGGAGAGAUUAAAAAAGAAUACAAAGAAGGCAAUGUUUAGGUUGGGGGGUAGAAGAAAGUGUGAGAAAUCAAUCUGUUUACAGACUCAGCCAUAUAUAACAAUUCUUAUAUCUGUAUACCUUUGUACAUAUACACAUAUAAUAAUGUGUACAUCUGUACUGGAUUUGGGGAAUGAAGGUCAGAAAGAAUGCAUAACACAAGGGUAAAACGAGAUUAGGAAAAGGAAUGGAGAUAGUAGCUGAGUUCCUGAAGAGAUACAGCUUAUGAGUUUCUGACAGCAAAAAGAAGAGGAUGGAUGAGCAAGAACAGGUUGAGAAUAAAAUGUAAGAGAUGGAAAGAACCAAGGAAUCAGUCAAGUUAACAUCACUUUAGGUGUGGAAGAACCACAGAGAUUUCCAUACCCCAGGUUCUAUGGUGCUUCCAGAUUUCCAAGCAGAGGUUUUCUCCUCAUGCCCUGGCGUACAACAUCCAUAAAGAAUGGCCUUGGAAGUAAAGUAUUUCCAUAAGGCAAUUGCCUUAUAAGUGAGCACACACCUUUGCAGCCUCUAUGCUUCCUUAAACACAGUGCAACUUAAUACAUAAUGCUUCAACUAAGAGAAUGAGAAACUUCAAGUACAAACACAUGGCAGCUUUCUGGAAAUCAACUUGAGUACAACUGUCAAGAAGGAAGAUUGCUUAAUCUUAAACAAAUGCCUGGAAAAAAGCAUACUGUCUAAUAUUUCAGAUAUUUAUCAGCAAU
This is a long non-coding RNA of Canis lupus familiaris (dog), 2017 nucleotides long. RefSeq lists it as uncharacterized. NCBI's taxonomy places the organism in Eukaryota, Metazoa, Chordata, Mammalia, Carnivora, Canidae. The transcript has 3 exons. The record is from RefSeq and is a predicted model, not a curated record.